UUUCUCUCUGGAAUUGAAGUCACAAGAUGGAAAAUUAUUCAUAAUUGCAAUCAUAACAUACCAUACAAUAGAGAGUUUCCUGCCAAGGAAACUUUGAUUUCAAAGACCUUACGCAAGUCGCAUGUAGUCGUGACUAUUUUUUUUUUGCAAGAAGCUCCUGCCAGCCUUCAAACUCAACACAACCCAGGUCAGCUCAGGGAUGGAAGGGACUUGAUUGGCAUAAAAUAAUUCCUCAGACAAAGGACUGAGUGUAUAGCUUCAAUGGGACACUGUGCAUCUAGGUCUUUAUAAGGAAGGUUGCCCUGGGCUCGUCCAACACAGGUGAUAUCCACAUCAUGGGUACUACCAAGAUUUUCCUGCUCCUUCUCUCAGUGGCCCUGUUGGCCCUGAGCUCAGCUCAAGGAACACCCAAGGAAGCCCCAAGCCAGCAACCUGCUGAACCUGAACCAGGGGAUUUCCUGGAUAAAAAUUUCAAGGUCACUUUGAUGUCUUCAAUGAAAUGCUCUCUGUCUCUGUUUGUCCUCUGUCUACAUAUCUCUCUCUGUUUCCCUGUCUGUCUCUGUCUAUCCUUUGAAAGAAAUGUAGUACCAAGAACCAGAAAGGUUAAAUGCCCGCCUAUUCAAAAGAUUUAGCUCUGAAAGGCUAAAUAAACAAAUGCUGCAUCCUUGCCA
RNAcentral lists this long non-coding RNA (671 nucleotides) under Phascolarctos cinereus (koala). RNAcentral describes it as "lncRNA (ENSPCIG00000031937.1)". Lineage: Eukaryota; Metazoa; Chordata; Mammalia; Diprotodontia; Phascolarctidae. The record is from RNAcentral.